GACGAACGCUGGCGGCGUGCCUAAUACAUGCAAGUGGAACGCACUGAUGAAUCCGUAGCUUGCUACAAUUUCAUCAGUGAGUCGCGAACGGGUGAGUAACGCGUAGGUAACCUGCCUGGUAGCGGGGAAUAACUAUUGGAAACGAUAGCUAAUACCGCAUAAGACAUUUUACUGCAUGGUAAGAUGUUAAAAGAUGCAACUGCAUCACUACCAGAUGGACCUGCGUUGUAUUAGCUAGUUGGUGAGGUAACGGCUCACCAAGGCCACGAUACAUAGCCGACCUGAGAGGGUGAUCGGCCACACUGGGACUGAGACACGGCCCAGACUCCUACGGGAGGCAGCAGUAGGGAAUCUUCGGCAAUGGGGGGAAACCUGACCGAGCAACGCCGCGUGAGUGAAGAAGGUUUUCGGAUCGUAAAGCUCUGUUGUAAGAGAAGAAAGCGUGUGAGAGUGGAAAGUUCACACAGUGACGGUAUCUUACCAGAAAGGGAC
This 492-nucleotide ribosomal RNA is filed under the name Streptococcus sp. oral taxon B59. RNAcentral describes it as "bacterial SSU rRNA". It matches the Rfam family "Bacterial small subunit ribosomal RNA", at positions 28 to 494 of the family's 1533-position model. The record is from RNAcentral. Lineage: Bacteria; Bacillati; Bacillota; Bacilli; Lactobacillales; Streptococcaceae.